Molecule: ribosomal RNA, 254 nt
Filed under: uncultured bacterium
Lineage: Bacteria
Description: partial 16S ribosomal RNA
Rfam family: Bacterial small subunit ribosomal RNA
Source: RNAcentral
UACGUAGGGCGCAAGCGUUAUCCGGAAUUAUUGGGCGUAAAGAGCUCGUAGGCGGUUUGUCGCGUCUGCCGUGAAAGUCCGGGGCUCAACUCCGGAUCUGCGGUGGGUACGGGCAAGACUAGAGUGAUGUAGGGGAGACUGGAAUUCCCGGUGUAGCGGUGAAAUGCGCAGAUAUCAGGAGGAACACCAGCGGCGAAGGCGGUGCUCUGGGCCGGAACUGACGCUGAGGAGCGAAAGCGUGGGGAGCGAACAGG